AAUGCCUAGGAAUCUGCCUGGUAGUGGGGGAUAACGUUCGGAAACGGACGCUAAUACCGCAUACGUCCUACGGGAGAAAGCAGGGGACCUUCGGGCCUUGCGCUAUCAGAUGAGCCUAGGUCGGAUUAGCUAGUUGGUGAGGUAAUGGCUCACCAAGGCGACGAUCCGUAACUGGUCUGAGAGGAUGAUCAGUCACACUGGAACUGAGACACGGUCCAGACUCCUACGGGAGGCAGCAGUGGGGAAUAUUGGACAAUGGGCGAAAGCCUGAUCCAGCCAUGCCGCGUGUGUGAAGAAGGUCUUCGGAUUGUAAAGCACUUUAAGUUGGGAGGAAGGGUUGUAGAUUAAUACUCUGCAAUUUUGACGUUACCGACAGAAUAAGCACCGGCUAACUCUGUGCCAGCAGCCGCGGUAAUACAGAGGGUGCAAGCGUUAAUCGGAAUUACUGGGCGUAAAGCGCGCGUAGGUGGUUUGUUAAAUUGGAUGUGAAAUCCCCGGGCUCAACCUGGGAACUGCAUUCAAAACUGACUGACUAGAGUAUGGUAGAGGGUGGUGGAAUUUCCUGUGUAGCGGUGAAAUGCGUAGAUAUAGGAAGG
RNAcentral lists this ribosomal RNA (596 nucleotides) under uncultured bacterium. RNAcentral describes it as "bacterial SSU rRNA". It matches the Rfam family "Bacterial small subunit ribosomal RNA", at positions 112 to 704 of the family's 1533-position model. The record is from RNAcentral.